This is a regulatory RNA element of Hymenobacter swuensis DY53, 114 nucleotides long. It matches the Rfam family "SAM riboswitch aptamer (S box leader)". From Rfam's summary of the family: The SAM riboswitch is found upstream of a number of genes which code for proteins involved in methionine or cysteine biosynthesis in Gram-positive bacteria. The SAM riboswitch acts at the level of transcription termination control. The record is from Rfam. NCBI's taxonomy places the organism in Bacteria, Pseudomonadati, Bacteroidota, Cytophagia, Cytophagales, Hymenobacteraceae.
GAUUUAUACAGAAGUGGCGAGAGAAUAGGCUCCCUGACCCACUGGCAACCUUCGACCGCGCGAAAGGUGCCAAUUCCUACCCGACCAGCCAUUUGGCGGCGGGGCAUAUAACCC